AGUAACACGUAUCCAACCUGCCGAUGACUCGGGGGAUAGCCUUUCGAAAGAAAGAUUAAUACCCGAUGGCAUAGUUCUUCCGCAUGGUGGAACUAUUAAAGAAUUUCGGUCAUCGAUGGGGAGUGCGUUCCAUUAGUUUGUUGGCGGGGUAACGGCCCACCAAGACUACGAUGGAUAGGGGUUCUGAGAGGAAGGUCCCCCACAUUGGAACUGAGACACGGUCCAAACUCCUACGGGAGGCAGCAUG
Molecule: ribosomal RNA, 247 nt
Filed under: uncultured bacterium
Lineage: Bacteria
Description: partial 16S ribosomal RNA
Rfam family: Bacterial small subunit ribosomal RNA
Source: RNAcentral